GAUGAACGCUAGCGGCAGGCCUAACACAUGCAAGUCGAGGGGUAACAUAGGAAAGCUUGCUUUUCUGAUGACGACCGGCGCACGGGUGCGUAACGCGUAUACAACCUACCUUUUAGCGGGGAAUAGCCCAGGGAAACUUGGAUUAAUGCCCCAUAGUAUAUAGACUUCUCCUGAAGUUUAUAUUAAACAUUUAUGGCCAUUAGAUGGGUAUGCGUCCUAUUAGUUAGUUGGUAAGGUAACGGCUUACCAAGGCAGCGAUAGGUAGGGGUCCUGAGAGGGAGAUCCCCACACUGGUACUGAGACACGGACCAGACUCCUACGGGAGGCAGCAGUGAGGAAUAUUGGACAAUGGGCGAGAGCCUGAUCCAGCCAUGCCGCGUGCAGGAAGACUGCCCUAUGGGUUGUAAACUGCUUUUACAGAGGAAGAACCACCCCCACGUGUGGGGGUUUGACGGUACUCUGCGAAUAAGGAUCGGCUAACUCCGUG
This 487-nucleotide ribosomal RNA is filed under the name uncultured bacterium. RNAcentral describes it as "bacterial SSU rRNA". It matches the Rfam family "Bacterial small subunit ribosomal RNA", at positions 28 to 507 of the family's 1533-position model. The record is from RNAcentral.